AGCGUACACGGUGGAUGCCCUGGCAGUCAGAGGCGAUGAAGGACGUGCUAAUCUGCGAUAAGCGUCGGUAAGGUGAUAUGAACCGUUAUAACCGGCGAUUUCCGAAUGGGGAAACCCAGUGUGUUUCGACACACUAUCAUUAACUGAAUCCAUAGGUUAAUGAGGCGAACCGGGGGAACUGAAACAUCUAAGUACCCCGAGGAAAAGAAAUCAACCGAGAUUCCCCCAGUAGCGGCGAGCGAACGGGGAGCAGCCCAGAGCCUGAAUCAGUNNUGUGAGCUCGAUGAGUAGGGCGGGACACGUGGUAUCCUGUCUGAAUAUGGGGGGACCAUCCUCCAAGGCUAAAUACUCCUGACUGACCGAUAGUGAACCAGUACCGUGAGGGAAAGGCGAAAAGAACCCCGGCGAGGGGAGUGAAAAAGAACCUGAAACCGUGUACGUACAAGCAGUGGGAGCACGCUUAGGCGUGUGACUGCGUACCUUUUGUAUAAUGGGUCAGCGACUUAUAUUCUGUAGCAAGGUUAACCGAAUAGGGGAGCCGAAGGGAAACCGAGUCUUAACUGGGCGUUAAGUUGCAGGGUAUAGACCCGAAACCCGGUGAUCUAGCCAUGGGCAGGUUGAAGGUUGGGUAACACUAACUGGAGGACCGAACCGACUAAUGUUGAAAAAUUAGCGGAUGACUUGUGGCUGGGGGUGAAAGGCCAAUCAAACCGGGAGAUAGCUGGUUCUCCCCGAAAGCUAUUUAGGUAGCGCCUCGUGAAUUCAUCUCCGGGGGUAGAGCACUGUUUCGGCAAGGGGGUCAUCCCGACUUACCAACCCGAUGCAAACUGCGAAUACCGGAGAAUGUUAUCACGGGAGACACACGGCGGGUGCUAACGUCCGUCGUGAAGAGGGAAACAACCCAGACCGCCAGCUAAGGUCCCAAAGUCAUGGUUAAGUGGGAAACGAUGUGGGAAGGCCCAGACAGCCAGGAUGUUGGCUUAGAAGCAGCCAUCAUUUAAAGAAAGCGUAAUAGCUCACUGGUCGAGUCGGCCUGCGCGGAAGAUGUAACGGGGCUAAACCAUGCACCGAAGCUGCGGCAGCGACACUAUGUGUUGUUGGGUAGGGGAGCGUUCUGUAAGCCUGUGAAGGUGUGCUGUGAGGCAUGCUGGAGGUAUCAGAAGUGCGAAUGCUGACAUAAGUAACGAUAAAGCGGGUGAAAAGCCCGCUCGCCGGAAGACCAAGGGUUCCUGUCCAACGUUAAUCGGGGCAGGGUGAGUCGACCCCUAAGGCGAGGCCGAAAGGCGUAGUCGAUGGGAAACAGGUUAAUAUUCCUGUACUUGGUGUUACUGCGAAGGGGGGACGGAGAAGGCUAUGUUGGCCGGGCGACGGUUGUCCCGGUUUAAGCGUGUAGGCUGGUUUUCCAGGCAAAUCCGGAAAAUCAAGGCUGAGGCGUGAUGACGAGGCACUACGGUGCUGAAGCAACAAAUGCCCUGCUUCCAGGAAAAGCCUCUAAGCAUCAGGUAACAUCAAAUCGUACCCCAAACCGACACAGGUGGUCAGGUAGAGAAUACCAAGGCGCUUGAGAGAACUCGGGUGAAGGAACUAGGCAAAAUGGUGCCGUAACUUCGGGAGAAGGCACGCUGAUAUGUAGGUGAAGUCCCUCGCGGAUGGAGCUGAAAUCAGUCGAAGAUACCAGCUGGCUGCAACUGUUUAUUAAAAACACAGCACUGUGCAAACACGAAAGUGGACGUAUACGGUGUGACGCCUGCCCGGUGCCGGAAGGUUAAUUGAUGGGGUUAGCCGCAAGGCGAAGCUCUUGAUCGAAGCCCCGGUAAACGGCGGCCGUAACUAUAACGGUCCUAAGGUAGCGAAAUUCCUUGUCGGGUAAGUUCCGACCUGCACGAAUGGCGUAAUGAUGGCCAGGCUGUCUCCACCCGAGACUCAGUGAAAUUGAACUCGCUGUGAAGAUGCAGUGUACCCGCGGCAAGACGGAAAGACCCCGUGAACCUUUACUAUAGCUUGACACUGAACAUUGAGCCUUGAUGUGUAGGAUAGGUGGGAGGCUUUGAAGUGUGGACGCCAGUCUGCAUGGAGCCGACCUUGAAAUACCACCCUUUAAUGUUUGAUGUUCUAACGUUGACCCGUAAUCCGGGUUGCGGACAGUGUCUGGUGGGUAGUUUGACUGGGGCGGUCUCCUCCUAAAGAGUAACGGAGGAGCACGAAGGUUGGCUAAUCCUGGUCGGACAUCAGGAGGUUAGUGCAAUGGCAUAAGCCAGCUUGACUGCGAGCGUGACGGCGCGAGCAGGUGCGAAAGCAGGUCAUAGUGAUCCGGUGGUUCUGAAUGGAAGGGCCAUCGCUCAACGGAUAAAAGGUACUCCGGGGAUAACAGGCUGAUACCGCCCAAGAGUUCAUAUCGACGGCGGUGUUUGGCACCUCGAUGUCGGCUCAUCACAUCCUGGGGCUGAAGUAGGUCCCAAGGGUAUGGCUGUUCGCCAUUUAAAGUGGUACGCGAGCUGGGUUUAGAACGUCGUGAGACAGUUCGGUCCCUAUCUGCCGUGGGCGCUGGAGAACUGAGGGGGGCUGCUCCUAGUACGAGAGGACCGGAGUGGACGCAUCACUGGUGUUCGGGUUGUCAUGCCAAUGGCACUGCCCGGUAGCUAAAUGCGGAAGAGAUAAGUGCUGAAAGCAUCUAAGCACGAAACUUGCCCCGAGAUGAGUUCUCCCUGACUCCUUGA
Molecule: ribosomal RNA, 2717 nt
Filed under: Escherichia coli
Lineage: Bacteria; Pseudomonadati; Pseudomonadota; Gammaproteobacteria; Enterobacterales; Enterobacteriaceae
Description: bacterial LSU rRNA
Rfam family: Bacterial large subunit ribosomal RNA
Source: RNAcentral